AGAAUCAACGCUGGCGGCGUGCCUAACACAUGCAAGUCGCACGAGAAAGUGGAGCAAUCCAUGAGUAAAGUGGCGCACGGGUGAGUAACACGUGAAUAAUCUACCUCCGAGUGGGGAAUAACUGAGAGAAAUCUUAGCUAAUACCGCAUAACACUUACGAGUCAAAGCAGCAAUGCGCUUGGAGAGGAGUUCGCGGCCGAUUAGUUAGUUGGCGGGGUAAUGGCCCACCAAGACGAUGAUCGGUAUCCGGCCUGAGAGGGCGCACGGACACACUGGAACUGAAACACGGUCCAGACUCUACGGGAGGCAGCAGUGGGGAAUUUUGCGCAAUGGGGGAAACCCUGACGCAGCAACGCCGCGUGGAGGAUGAAAUCCCUUGGGAUGUAAACUCCUUUCGAUUGGGAAGAUAAUGACGGUACCAAUAGAAGAAGCCCGGCUAACUUCGUGCCAGCAGCCGC
Molecule: ribosomal RNA, 458 nt
Filed under: uncultured bacterium
Lineage: Bacteria
Description: SSU rRNA
Rfam family: Bacterial small subunit ribosomal RNA
Source: RNAcentral